Molecule: long non-coding RNA, 2829 nt
Organism: Dermochelys coriacea (leatherback sea turtle)
Lineage: Eukaryota; Metazoa; Chordata; Testudines; Dermochelyidae
Exons: 3
Source: RefSeq, a predicted model, not a curated record
GUGAUUUUAAGUGAAUUUUAAGUGUGGUGGCUGGAGAACAGAUGAAAUGCUUACUGGUUUGUUGUUUUCUGUUUGCUUAUUUCAGGUAAGGAAAAUAGGGACAGAAAAGGAAGCAAAAUAAGUAAGAGUGAGGAUCAGAACAAGCUAGAACUGCACAGGUCGCAAAUUACCCAGAAACGCUGAACACUGGGCGCUGCAAAAGUCUCUGUUAACUAAGAAGCCCCUGAGCUGAGUGCAUCCCAGUUUCAGUGAACUACAGAGAGGGUGUGACCCAGUACAAGAAAGCAUAAAAAUGACUACCAGUGAAGCAGCUACUAAACUAGACCUGGCUAGACUGGAAGCAGAAGAGAAAGAAAAUGAACUUAAGAGACUUAUCAAAUUGAAAAAAAAUUAGAAAAUAUUGCAGCAGCAGACAGAGAAGAAGAUGCCCACAAGACAGCUAUGGAGGCAGAAAGAGCCAAAGAGGAGGCUGCCCUCAAGAGAGAGAUGGAGGCCUAGAAGCAUGAACUGGCUGUUAUGGAGUUGAGGAGACAAACCCCUCCAGAUGCUGGCUCCACUUCCCCAAAAAUCCACAGAUGGGAGCAACUAAGCCCCCAGUAUGAUGAAACCAGCGAUAUUGCCGAAUAUUUCAUCACCUUUGAGAGACUGCAUGGAGGGUACACACAAUCCCUGAAGAUCAAAAGAUGACCACAUUGAUAGCAAAAUUGACUGGUAGAACUCUGGACAUAUUCAGUAAGAUGCCUAUUGAUGAUGCUUCAAACUAUGAAACACAAUUAAGCCAUGACUGGACUGUCAGACUGGAGAAUGGGACCCAGUUCCCUUCACCUGGAUCCUGGAUUUCUCCUCACUUCAGAGAAACUUUUUCGAGGUGAAACAAGGCUUGCACUUUGGGCUGCUGGACAGAACAAGCGUUCAGGCUGAAAAGCGAACAACAUUUCUCUCAAUUUCAGCAAAAAACAAACAAACUCCCACAAAAACAGGCACCUGAAAAAGUACCGCCCCUGACUUCACCUUUCCAAGGUCUUCUCCACACUCUCUCCCGUCCAGAGUGAGAAUCCUACUGACCAACAAACCACAUUCAGACCCUAAUGCAGCUCUUCCUCUGCAGGAUGUUGGAGAAAAACUCAGGUGAAAAAACCCUCCAAGGUCAGCUGCAAAAGUAGCCUAGGCAAGGACUUGGUCGAAAUUUGAAGCCGGGAUCUCUUGCAUUGUAAAGAAGACUCAUGCCCUAGUCCAACAAAUCCUUUGGAAACUCUAAGGAAAAGCCACAUUCCACAGGAGUUUCUAAAGACAAACGAGCAGCCAUACACCCAGGCAGAAGGAGCCUGGAAAUGGGAAGGCUCCCACGGCAAGAUAUUUUGAGCCCCCAACAAUUAGGUAGAAGAACAGGUAGAUGAAAACCCAAAGAAAGUUUCAAGAGUUCUCCUUCCUGGCUGAGCUGGGUGUGCUGUCCAGGUCGUGGAUGGUCAUUCUGGGGAGGGAUGUGGGUCUGGUCCAGUUUGGGGGGGUGGUUCUGAGGAAGGAUGUGGGUCUCAUAUAUUUGGAGGUUUGGCCCAGAGCCCAGUCUUUUGAGGGCACAGCUGGUGUCCUGAUCCUAGUCUAUCUGCCUCUCUUCUGGCAGAGAAGGCCAAGCCAGGCGAGUAUAAAUAAUGAUAUUGUAAAUAACAUGUAAUAAAGUUGUGGAUGUUUUUUCUUUUAAAAAAUGCAUUCACAGUUUUAAAUCUGCCCCAAUUUCAUCAGACCCUGGUAGUUCCUAUGAGAAAUAUGAAGGAUGAGCUAUUGUAACAGUUCCCGCUUAGUGGGAGCAACAGCUGGCUGGUGUUUUGGCUGCUCAGGCUUUUGUUAGCUGGUUUUACCCACUGUGUUUUCUUUUGCAUGUUUUCUUUCAUAAUGUAUUUGAUGUAUCUGUGUGUAACUUUUUCCCCUAAGGCACACAGCUGUACAGGUUUUAUUUAUAAUCGUUACAAGUUUAAGUUGCAGACGGAGGGGGCUCCCAACAAUGGCAGCCUUAAGGGGGGCGGCUAGAAGCUGGGGGACUGGAUUGGGACCCCCUAACGCUUACUGGUCUCUCUAUCCUGCAGUUUUAGUCCUCCCCCCCAGAUUAGCCUGAUUAUCACAAGAAAAGUUUUUUUUUUCUCCUGCUGCUAAUAGCCUACCUUAAUUGAUUGUUCUCAUUAAGAGUUGUAUGGCAACCCUCAUUUUCUCAUGUUCUCUCUCUCUCUGUGUGUGUGUGUGUGUGUGUGUGUGUGUGUGUGUGUGUAUAUAUAUAUAUAUAUGUGUGUGUGUGUAUAUAUAAUCUUCCUACUGUAUUUUCCACUGCAUGCAUCUGAUGAAGUGGGCUUUAGCCCAUGAAAGCUUAUGCUCAAAUAAAUUUGUUAGUCUCUAAGGUGCCACAAGUACUCCUCAUUAUCUUUUCUUCACUGAUUGCGCUGAGGGUUCUACCUGGCUCUAGCACUCUGGUCCCUCAGCUACCAAUGCCACCUGGGAACCCCGAUCGAUUCCAGCUUUAAGGAGUGCUGAGAUCCAUCUGUCUCUUUCUCUGUCUCUCUCUAGGUAUAGCCUCCUGACCUUGCCUUAUGUGAUCAGUUAUAGUUUGCUAGCCCUAACUUUUGUAAUCAAAUUUAAGUUAGAUUUAAUAUUGGAAUGAUUUUGUUUGUUUGGCUCCCCUUGUAAGGUUACUACCUGGAAAUAAAUAACUUUCAUGGUUAAGCUGAUUGCUCUCCCCCCUCAUGGGUGUUUUUGGCUUUUCCAUUCACUCUGCAGUAACGCUCCUUGUACCUAAGCUAAAGAUCCCUGCAGCGCCCAAAAAUCCUCUGGGGUUUGCUCAUC